This 412-nucleotide transfer RNA is filed under the name Halobacillus sp. FAM 115. RNAcentral's name for it is "partial 16S-23S ribosomal RNA intergenic spacer". The stretch from base 84 to 157 matches the Rfam family "tRNA". Lineage: Bacteria; Bacillati; Bacillota; Bacilli; Caryophanales; Bacillaceae. The record is from RNAcentral.
AAGGAUAUUACGGAAACGUACUGUGUUGGUUGUUCAGUUUUGAGAGAUCAAACUAUGAAAAUAUGAUCUUCCUUCAAUUGGAUGGGCCUGUAGCUCAGUUGGUUAGAGCGCACGCCUGAUAAGCGUGAGGUCGGUGGUUCAAGUCCACUCAGGCCCACCAUUCAAAAAGGGGCCUUAGCUCAGCUGGGAGAGCGCCUGCUUUGCACGCAGGAGGUCAGCGGUUCGAUCCCGCUAGGCUCCACCAUUUAAAUGUUACACCUAAACACAAGAACCUAUUUUGUGUUUUAUAAUCAACCCUGCAUAAGGGCGUGAACCUUGAAAACUGGAUAAGGAAUCAUUGUUUCAUCUAACGAUGAGGCAAUUGAUGACAAGACAUCUAAUUGAAAUUGUAAACGUCUUUUCACGAAGAUAG